GACGAACGCUGGCGGCGUGCUUAACACGUGCAAGUCGAACGGAAAGGCCCUGCUUUUGUGGGGUGCUCGAGUGGCGAGCGGGUGAGUAACACGUGAGUAACCUGCCCUUGACUUUGGGAUAACUUCAGGAAACUGGGGCUAAUACCGGAUAGGAGCUCCUGCUGCAUGGUGGGGGUUGGAAAGUUUCGGCGGUUGGGGAUGGACUCGCGGCUUAUCAGCUUGUUGGUGGGGUAGUGGCUUACCAAGGCUUUGACGGGUAGCCGGCCUGAGAGGGUGACCGGCCACAUUGGGACUGAGAUACGGCCCAGACUCCUACGGGAGGCAGCAGUGGGGAAUAUUGCACAAUGGGCGGAAGCCUGAUGCAGCAACGCCGCGUGCGGGAUGACGGCCUUCGGGUUGUAAACCGCUUUCGCCUGUGACGAAGCGUGAGUUACGGUAAUGGGUAAAGAAGCACCGGCUAACUACGUGCCAGCAGCCGCGGUGAUACGUAGGGUGCGAGCGUUGUCCGGAUUUAUUGGGCGUAAAGGGCUCGUAGGUGGUUGAUCGCGUCGGAAGUGUAAUCUUGGGGCUUAACCCUGAGCGUGCUUUCGAUACGGGUUGACUUGAGGAAGGUAGGGGAGAAUGGAAUUCCUGGUGGAGCGGUGGAAUGCGCAGAUAUCAGGAGGAACACCAGUGGCGAAGGCGGUUCUCUGGGCCUUUCCUGACGCUGAGGAGCGAAAGCGUGGGGAGCGAACAGGCUUAGAUACCCUGGUAGUCCACGCUGUAAACGGUGGGUACUAGGUGUGGGGUCCAUUCCACGGGUUCCGUGCCGUAGCUAACGCUUUAAGUACCCCGCCUGGGGAGUACGGCCGCAAGGCUAAAACUCAAAGGAAUUGACGGGGCCCCGCACAAGCGGCGGAGCAUGCGGAUUAAUUCGAUGCAACGCGUAGAACCUUACCUGGGUUUGACAUGGAUCGGGAGUGCUCAGAGAUGGGUGUGCCUCUUUUGGGGUCGGUUCACAGGUGGUGCAUGCCUGUCGUCAGCUCGUGUCGUGAGAUGUUGGGUUAAGUCCCGCAACGAGCGCAACCCUUGUUCACUGUUGCCAGCACGUUAUGGUGGGGACUCAGUGGAGACCGCCGGGGUCAACUCGGAGGAAGGUGGGGAUGACGUCAAGUCAUCAUGCCCCUUAUGUCCAGGGCUUCACGCAUGCUACAAUGGCUGGUACAGAGAGUGGCGAGCCUGUGAGGGUGAGCGAAUCUCGGAAAGCCGGUCUCAGUUCGGAUUGGGGUCUGCAACUCGACCUCAUGAAGUCGGAGUCGCUAGUAAUCGCAGAUCAGCAACGCUGCGGUGAAUACGUUCCCGGGGCU
Molecule: ribosomal RNA, 1346 nt
Filed under: uncultured bacterium
Lineage: Bacteria
Description: partial 16S ribosomal RNA
Rfam family: Bacterial small subunit ribosomal RNA
Source: RNAcentral